GAACCGAUGUGCGAUUAGCUAGUUGUAGGGUAAUGGCUACCAAGGCGACGAUCGCUAGCUGGUCUGAGGGGAUGAUCAGCCACACUGGAACUGAGACACGGUCCAGACUCCUACGGGAGGCAGCAGUGGGGAAUAUUGGACAAUGGGCGCAAGCCUGAUCCAGCAAUGCCGCGUGUGUGAAGAAGGCCUUCGGGUUGUAAAGCACUUUUAUCAGGAGCGAAAUACUACCGGCUAAUAUCCGGUGGGGCUGACGGUACCUGAGGAAUAAGCACCGGCUAACUUCGUGC
Molecule: ribosomal RNA, 287 nt
Filed under: uncultured Dyella sp.
Lineage: Bacteria; Pseudomonadati; Pseudomonadota; Gammaproteobacteria; Lysobacterales; Rhodanobacteraceae
Description: partial 16S ribosomal RNA
Rfam family: Bacterial small subunit ribosomal RNA
Source: RNAcentral